AGGGUCCCCAACUGCCGCCCAGGCUGCGUGUGGGGCCUGGCAUGGCGGCCUCCGGAGUCCGUUAGCUCCCGGCAGUUCUUCCGAAUUGGAAAGCGUCCUCCGGUUCAGCAGGAAGCCGCCGCCUCAUUGAAAUGAGAGGACAGGGCGAAGCCUCCCCCCUCCGCACAGUUCACAGGCCUGCCUUCCCCAUGGAGCCUCUCAGCCCGCGGUUUCCUUCACCCGCACCCGCCACUGAGGGAGCGGCCUUGCUGACCGACUGUUGGUCCAUUCCUUACGGCCAAAGAAUUGCCACAAAUGAAUUGCCUCUUCAUGCAGGCUCAGAUGCUUCUGGCACUGACAUGAAGCUCAUCUCCGCCUCACAUUUUACUGAGAGGAUGGCAUGACUCUCUUUGCUCUAUUCCAUGUUUAGCUGCACACUCACCAGAAGGAACCACGUGAUCAACAUAGCUACCAGCUGACCCCACAGCUGCCUCCUGGCUCCCUUAGUUCCACCGCGGAUUUCUGGGCCUUCCUUAUGAUGAUCCAUCGUGGCUGAGUUCUCGCUCCCAGCCUGAUGUGUCCAAGCAAGAAGUUGGCAGAGGCCUGCAGUGCCCACCGUCGUAAAGUGUGCCCCCGGACAAUGCCGCGGACAGACACACACAGCAGCCCAGCAGGGGUGCAGUGCACUGACGUGAUAGGCAGAGGGAACACCUGGAUAUUUUUCUGAACAUGUUAAGGCAUUUGAUUUAUAGGUCGCACUCUCGAAGCACAGUAGCUGUCGCCUACGCUGACUUCCGGAACGUGAGGUGUUCUGUGUGGAAGGGAAAAGCCGACAGCAGAUUCCUAGCCGAGUCUAAGAAUCCUCAUGGGAAACAGACUGCGCCCUCCGCAGCCUUUGAUCCCAUCGAUAUUAUGUGUUGUCUUUCAGUCCCACCGGGUUGACAUCACUUUCCCACGUUACUCCUUCAGUCAAUAUUUGAAGGCCUAUUUCUGUAAAUAUCAGGAACUGGUAGGACUCCCUGCAACAGAAACCCUUGACCCCCAAGUGACAUAAUGAACAGUCACCGGCCAAAGCUCGAAGCCGCUUCCUGGAACUCGUGUGCUCAGACCAGCAAGGAGAGCCCAGCGAUGCCAGCUGGCCUGCCUCCUCCCCGCACAGCCUGACCUUCAGAGAGCAAACAGUGCCAGGCACACCUCCUCCCGUGUGCCCGCUCCCGUUAGCGCCGCCCGCUAUGGCGGGGGGCGGGGGGGGGUGACCCCUGCUACUCCGUUGCAGCACCAGAAUGGAGCCCCCAGUGUUCUGGCGGGUGGCCUGCUGGGUCUGGCUUGAGUUUGACAUUGCCAAAGUAAACUAAAAAUCA
This is a long non-coding RNA of Eptesicus fuscus (big brown bat), 1340 nucleotides long. RefSeq lists it as uncharacterized. NCBI's taxonomy places the organism in Eukaryota, Metazoa, Chordata, Mammalia, Chiroptera, Vespertilionidae. The transcript is spliced from 7 exons. The record is from RefSeq and is a predicted model, not a curated record.